Cannabis sativa is the source of this 1631-nucleotide long non-coding RNA. RefSeq lists it as uncharacterized. The record is from RefSeq and is a predicted model, not a curated record. Lineage: Eukaryota; Viridiplantae; Streptophyta; Magnoliopsida; Rosales; Cannabaceae. The transcript is spliced from 4 exons.
UUAUUUUCUAAUCUUUGUCCUCUUAAUUUUUUAACUUAUUUCUAAUUUUUUAAUUUAUUUAAAUUUUAUUUUAUUAAUUAAUUGAUUACUUUUAAUGGGUCUUAAUGAUUUAGGUUUCAUUUUCUUUAGGUCUUUUCGUUUAUCUCAUUUCUUAUUUUGCCUCCAUCUUCUUAGACAGAGAAAAAAAACCCUUCAGAAUAUAAUGAUCCUUUCAUUUCGCCUUCUCUGCUCUUUCUCUCUUUAAUUUUCCAUUCCACCCAAAUUUGACGAAUCUAAUAAUUUUAAGACAGCAGGAUUACCGGAGAAAGAGGCUGCCCCUGCAUCCAAAAUGGCAUCGUUUGGAGCUUAAUGCAAUUUGCGAGAGCAAUUAUCAGCAGAAGACGAAGAAGAGAUCUUAGCAGAAUUUGAGAGCUUAGAAAUUGAGGCUAUAAAAAUACUAAACGAUGAAAUGCAGUUGGAUGUCAUCAAGAUUGGAAAUUUGGUUCGGGUUAAAGUGCGCAAUCCGUAUGUUUAAAAUACGUUAUAAAAGAUGACCUUCUUUGAAAUCCUAAAGAAACAGGUAUUAUAGUAAUGUGUGAGUGUGUGCGUGUGCUUUAAAUAAAAUAAAAUAGAUGGGAGAACACUGCAAAUCGCUCGCAGUUGGGACGAAGGUGCUACUCCUCUUAAAGAUAUAUUUAAGGUCUUUUGGGUUCUAUUGUUUUUAUUUAUUAUGGUUUUUAUUUAUCAACUCUUUUGAUUUCGUAACUAAUUUUGGUAUAGUUUUUAUUCACUAAUUUUGGUAUGGUUAUUAUUUUUCAACUCUUUUUAUUUCUUCUUCAUCAUUCAUUUGGAUGUGAGCAGGAGAAAGAACUCUUUGAAAGGCGAAAGACAUAAUGCAUGGCUUAAUGAUGAGUUUACAUCCAAAAAAGACAAUCUUAUUGAGUUGCGGAGAAAGCAUGAUUCAAAGCUUGCAAAGUAACAUCAUUGGAGGAGGUAUUGAGAUACAAAAUUAUGUUGCAUCUCACUCCUUAUUAGCUGGGUAUCAUAUAUGUUAUAAUUCUAAUCAUGUCUAGGAAUUACGCUCAACUAAAGAUACUGCUUUAGCAAACGAAGAACAACUAUCUGCUGAACUCUUAACAGAACCACCUACCAAGAAGUUUGUUAUGGAUAGUGAAAUGUCAGAUUACAUUCUUGCCAAAGUUUGAUUCUGCAAGUAAGAUUAUCGAAUCAAUUAUUAUUUUUUGGUCUGUUUUUAGAAACUGUCUUAAUCCGAAGGAAGCAAUUGUAAAAGUAAUAUGUGCAUCUUCAAAAUGUGGAGAAUACCUGGUCGAGAUAAGUAUGAUUGGUGCUUUAGAAAUUAAUAAUAAAUUAUACAAUAUAAACAAAUAUUUGUGUGGUGGUUGGGUAUUUAUGCCAUUUUCGUUUAUGUGUUUUAUGGUUGAAUAUUGAGCUUUUUGGCUAUUUGUGUUUGUUUACUGUUAAUGUGGCUGUUAAACCUCUAGACUAUUUGAAUUUCUUAGUGUUUGGUCUUCAAAUUAUUUAACGAUUGUUUAACAGUACUUUUUUAUUUUAUUAAUGUCUUAAUGGAGAUAUACUAUUGUUUUAAAUACAAGUUUUAUUAUUGUCAAAUUUGAAACAAUAGAACUAAAAAC